AUACAGAUGACGAGUCCCAAAUGGGACGAAGCGUGCGUCCUAGAU
Molecule: non-coding RNA, 45 nt
Filed under: Schistosoma mansoni
Lineage: Eukaryota; Metazoa; Platyhelminthes; Trematoda; Strigeidida; Schistosomatidae
Source: RNAcentral